RNAcentral lists this transfer RNA (63 nucleotides) under Tomoxia bucephala. Its description in RNAcentral is "tRNA-Ile". Lineage: Eukaryota; Metazoa; Arthropoda; Insecta; Coleoptera; Mordellidae. The record is from RNAcentral.
AAUGAAGUGCCUGAAUAAAAGGGUCAUUUUGAUAGAAUGGAUCAUGUGUAACCACCUUCAUUA